Molecule: transfer RNA, 72 nt
Filed under: Blumeria graminis f. sp. tritici 96224
Lineage: Eukaryota; Fungi; Ascomycota; Leotiomycetes; Helotiales; Erysiphaceae
Description: tRNA-Arg (CCG) (tRNA-Arg-CCG-2-1)
Rfam family: tRNA
About the family: Transfer RNA (tRNA) molecules are approximately 80 nucleotides in length. Their secondary structure includes four short double-helical elements and three loops (D, anti-codon, and T loops).
Source: RNAcentral
GGCCUGGUGGCCUAAUGGUAAGGCGUUGCUUUCCGGUGGCAAACAUUGCGGGUUCGAGUCCCGUCUGGGUCG